RNAcentral lists this long non-coding RNA (375 nucleotides) under Bos mutus (wild yak). Its description in RNAcentral is "lncRNA (ENSBMUG00000019140.1)". Lineage: Eukaryota; Metazoa; Chordata; Mammalia; Artiodactyla; Bovidae. The record is from RNAcentral.
CUUUCUCUUUUCUUACCUGAACCUCUGGACUUUCUUGUCUGAAAAGAGAGAGGAAAAAAAAAAAGCUGGCACUCAUUGUUUUGUUUUCUCAAUUUUCUUGUCAACUGACUCAUGAUAAAAGAAUGUCCUUUUCAAUCAAUUUCAAUUCCGCAGAACAGAAAAAUAGAGAAUUUAUAGGCAACUAUUGGAAACAAAGGAACCAUCUGUUUUUUUAAGUAUAAUUUUUCUCUGAAAUCGUUCUCUCCAAAUACUUGGAUCAUUUAUUUUCCCUCACCGCACCACUCUGCAGUGACCCAGAGAACCCCAUUGUCCAACCCAGGCUCUUGGUCUCCUGCUCUGCUGCUGGAUCCCUUUUGUUCCCCAGAACUGGUCUUA